This 389-nucleotide ribosomal RNA is filed under the name uncultured bacterium. Its description in RNAcentral is "bacterial SSU rRNA". It matches the Rfam family "Bacterial small subunit ribosomal RNA", at positions 30 to 416 of the family's 1533-position model. The record is from RNAcentral.
AUUGAACGCUGGUGGCAUGCCUUACACAUGCAAGUCGAACGGCAGCGGACCUUCGGGUGCCGGCGAGUGGCGAACGGGUGAGUAAUAUAUCGGAACGUACCUUUCAGUGGGGGAGUAACGUAGCGAAAGUUACGCUAAUACCGCAUAUUCUGUGAGCAGGAAAGCAGGGGAUCGCAAGACCUUGCGCUGAUUGAGCGGCCGAUAUCAGAUUAGCUAGUUGGUGAGGUAAAGGCUUACCAAGGCGACGAUCUGUAGCGGGUCUGAGAGGAUGAUCCGCCACACUGGAACUGAGACACGGUCCAGACUCCUACGGGAGGCAGCAGUGGGGAAUUUUGGUACAAUGGGCGGCAAGACCUGAUCCAGCCACUGCCGCGUGAGUGAAGAAGGCC